AAAUCAUGAUGAGGACACCUCCUCAAAAGCUCUUCAAAUCACUCUCAUGCCUCAAACAAGGAUUCUACUUCAUAUUGUUGGAAGCAACAUAUCUCCGUUAUAAGUUU
Molecule: small nucleolar RNA, 107 nt
Organism: Abrus precatorius (Indian licorice)
Lineage: Eukaryota; Viridiplantae; Streptophyta; Magnoliopsida; Fabales; Fabaceae
Source: RefSeq, a predicted model, not a curated record